RNAcentral lists this ribosomal RNA (724 nucleotides) under Nocardia speluncae. Its description in RNAcentral is "bacterial SSU rRNA". It matches the Rfam family "Bacterial small subunit ribosomal RNA", at positions 63 to 804 of the family's 1533-position model. Lineage: Bacteria; Bacillati; Actinomycetota; Actinomycetes; Mycobacteriales; Nocardiaceae. The record is from RNAcentral.
CGAGCGGUAAGGCCCUUCGGGGUACACGAGCGGCGAACGGGUGAGUAACACGUGGGUGAUCUGCCUUGCACUCUGGGAUAAGCCUGGGAAACUGGGUCUAAUACCGGAUAUGACUUCCAGUUGCAUGAUUGGGAGUGGAAAGAUUUAUCGGUGCAAGAUGAGCCCGCGGCCUAUCAGCUUGUUGGUGGGGUAAUGGCCUACCAAGGCGACGACGGGUAGCCGGCCUGAGAGGGCGAUCGGCCACACUGGGACUGAGACACGGCCCAGACUCCUACGGGAGGCAGCAGUGGGGAAUAUUGCACAAUGGGCGGAAGCCUGAUGCAGCGACGCCGCGUGAGGGAUGACGGCCUUCGGGUUGUAAACCUCUUUCGACUCCGACGAAGCGAAAGUGACGGUAGGAGUAUAAGAAGCACCGGCCAACUACGUGCCAGCAGCCGCGGUAAUACGUAGGGUGCGAGCGUUGUCCGGAAUUACUGGGCGUAAAGAGCUUGUAGGCGGUCUGUCGCGUCUUCUGUGAAAACUUGGGGCUCAACCUUAAGCUUGCAGGGGAUACGGGCAGACUAGAGUACUUCAGGGGAGACUGGAAUUCCUGGUGUAGCGGUGAAAUGCGCAGAUAUCAGGAGGAACACCGGUGGCGAAGGCGGGUCUCUGGGAAGUAACUGACGCUGAGAAGCGAAAGCAUGGGUAGCGAACAGGAUUAGAUACCCUGGUAGUCCAUGCCGUA